CUGUGAUUAUUGGUCCCCCCCGGGGGGGGCCCCCCCACCCCCCAACCCCUUUUCCUAUUCCGGGAUUUUUUUUUUAAACCCA
RNAcentral lists this unclassified non-coding RNA (82 nucleotides) under [Candida] sp. PLM-2006a. RNAcentral describes it as "Candida sp. PLM-2006a ITS1". The record is from RNAcentral. Lineage: Eukaryota; Fungi; Ascomycota; Saccharomycetes; Saccharomycetales.